GGGUUUACUCAUUGGUCAGGCUUAGGUGUCUGCACUGGUGAGAUGGAUCUCUACCUUCUGAGGAACUUUCAUGCCAUUUAUUUGGUGUGAUUGGAAAUCAGGACUGUUACUUUGAAAAAAUUAGAGUGUUUAAAGCAGACUAUCGUCUGAAUACAUUAGCAUGGAAUAAUGAAAUAGGACGGACUGAUUCUAUUUCGUUGGUUUCUAGGAUCACCGUAAUGAUUAAUAGGGAUAGUUGGG
Molecule: ribosomal RNA, 240 nt
Filed under: uncultured Glomeromycotina
Lineage: Eukaryota; Fungi; Glomeromycota
Description: partial small subunit ribosomal RNA
Rfam family: Eukaryotic small subunit ribosomal RNA (bases 48-240)
Source: RNAcentral